Molecule: long non-coding RNA, 647 nt
Organism: Balaenoptera acutorostrata (minke whale)
Lineage: Eukaryota; Metazoa; Chordata; Mammalia; Artiodactyla; Balaenopteridae
Exons: 3
Source: RefSeq, a predicted model, not a curated record
UGGCCCACACUCUGUCUGUGGAGCGUGUUUCUCUCUAAAUAAAUCCACUUCUUACCUGUCAGUUUUUCUCUCACUGAAUUCUUUCCACAAUGAGACAUCAAGAACCUGAGCUUCAUUAAGUCCUGAAACCAGGUGUGUGAUCUCAGUUGGAGGACUGUGGGUUUUGGCUGGGUUCGAGUCACGGCCACGUGGGUUCAAGUCCCAAUCUGGGUUUUGGCCAGGUUGGAGUCCUGGCAUGUGGGUUCAAGUCCCAAUCUGAGGUGCACAGUUUCAACUAGCGACCACGAAGAAACAGUGAUAAGACCAACUCCCGUUCAUCGUCAACACUGUUGGGGACGUCUUCUGUGCCGUUUCUUUGUGACAUCUGGGGCUCUAACACCUGGUUGGGAGACUACCUUGGAAGCGAUAGUAUCUAAAAUUUAAUAGGGAUAUGGCCCAAAAGGCUGAACGCUCCCAGAGAAAUAUGCAAAAGGCCGAAUGACUGCAGUGGCUUUGUUCGUUCAGAGACCACCAAAGAGGAAGCCGGCUUUUCUGGACCAAUCCGGCCUUGGCAGACCACAAGGCCCACGGGUCCCCACACAAGGCCAGUGUACCCUGUGUGGACAAAAGGGGCACCGGAGGGAGGACUGAGAUCGAUGUGCCCAUUG